GUUUUUAUAGUUUAAAAAAAAACAUUGGUCUUGUAAAUCAAAAUUAAGUCUAUUUACUUUAAAAACU
This 67-nucleotide transfer RNA is filed under the name Hydrillodes lentalis. Its description in RNAcentral is "tRNA-Thr". It matches the Rfam family "tRNA". From Rfam's summary of the family: Transfer RNA (tRNA) molecules are approximately 80 nucleotides in length. The record is from RNAcentral. Lineage: Eukaryota; Metazoa; Arthropoda; Insecta; Lepidoptera; Erebidae.